GUCCACAGUGGUCCCAGAAGCUGAAACCGUAACAGGGGCUCAGUAAUACUUGUUGAAUGAGUGCACUUCUAUCCAGUCUCCACCAGCUCCAAAGAUGUUCCCCAUGCCCGGAUGCACUACCUGUGUCAGAGGCAGCUUUGGGGAGAAUCAGACUAAGACAUAGAAACAGAAAUACUCAGGCCUGCGCUGUUAAGGAACAACUUGACAGGCAGCAGGGAGCUCCUGGCUCAACAAGAAGGCCAGGCGCAGACACCGAAGCUGUGGUCUCUUGUGUGGCUGCCCAUCCCAUCCCAUCCUGAGCCUUGCCCCGUCUGGGAGAGACUGCAGUGGGACCGGCUAUCAGCACGGUCACAAAGGGGUGGGGGGUGACUCCGCCAGAAGUUCUGGCCUUGAAGAAACGGCACGCAUGCGCAGAUGUGGCGAGGGGGCCAGAGGGCGGUGGGGGCGUCUGAGCUGCUUCAGACAGCCCUGGAGGCGCCUGGUGGGAGCGGAGCGCUGGGUCCGCGUGUCUGGGGCAGGUUCAGUGCUCCAGAUGCUGAACAGAGGGAGAACAGCUGGAGUUGGAGCGGCCAGCAGGUGCCAUCGAGGAACCUGAGAGGACGAGAGGACAGACACGGUGUUGAGAUCCUGUCACCUCCUGGCCCUAGAGCUGCCACUCCCCACCCCCGCCUCCGUGUAACUCUCCAGGAUCCAGGCAGCUGCCUCGCCCAAGGCUCAGACAGUCACCCCCAACGAUCCUUCCACUGCUCCCCCGUCAGCUGCCUGGAUUCGGGCCCAGAGCCCCCGUGUGGCUUCGGCUGCAGGGAGGAGGCCCGACGCCUUGACCACUAGAGCCGAGCCUCCGGCCGCACACCAGGCCCUGAGCAGCUCGGCAGGGCUCUCAGGCUGGGGAAAGGGCUCAUGCAGGGUCAGCGCAAUCGAUAUCUCAUCUGCAGCUCUCCGAGCGGAAGUGAUGGCUAUUGGAACACGGUAAUGGGUGUUGUCUACUGGAAGAGACUAAUCUUCCCGGCUGUGGAGGGCUCCGCAGGUGGCCCGUGCACCAGCAGGCUCCUCUGCGGCUGCACUCGCCGCUGUCACUGGGGCGGGCCAGGCGCUUUUAAAGCCACAGCGGUCUUGCUGCAGCCCUUGUCCAUCCGGGCCUGUGCCACGGAGCCUCGGUGGUGAUCCAAGCCGGUCCCCCAAGCCGGGAAGACUGAGGCCAGGGGUUUGCCUAAGCCCCAUGUUCAGCCAGACACAGGCCAGAGGAAGCUCUGCUCUCCGGACUCCCCGGCCAAUGACGUGCAGAAUGUGACAGUGCCAAGCCAUGGUCACGGGCUGGACCUGGCCUUGGGGAUUUGGGGUCCUGUGUUAGUCACCCUUGAUCCGUCUUCUGAGUCCUGGCUGGAAGGUGACCAGCCUGAUGGGCCGCUGGCCCUUUGCUGUGGGUGCUGCUCCAUGCUCGUCUCGCAAACUAAGUGAGCAGCUGCUGUGGCCUGUGCCAGGUCAUACCAGGCCCUGGGGGCACAGGGCUUGGCGAACACAAAGCCUUUAUCUCAGUGGCUUUUUCAGCUGAGAGGAGACAGGCAGACGGAGGUCGUGGGAAGUUGCUGAGCUGGCUCCGCUGUGAACUCGCUGUGUGAUCCGAGGGAGGUCCCUUAACUCCUACAGGCCUCAGUUUCCCCACAUGUAAAACAAGGGCUUGGCCUCCAUGAUCCCUGAAGUAGACAGAGGUUUUUGCUUCUAAACG
This is a long non-coding RNA of Chinchilla lanigera (long-tailed chinchilla), 1726 nucleotides long. The record is from Ensembl. Lineage: Eukaryota; Metazoa; Chordata; Mammalia; Rodentia; Chinchillidae.